UCUAGCCAUAAAAGAGAUCCUGAAGCUCUGCGGGGGUUGAUUUCUGGGGUUGCUGCUCCAAGCAGUGCUGUGCUGCUGCAGUGCCACUGUUCUAACACUCAGCAUAGCUCAUGUAUUGCAAUUUCAGUGUUCAACAGCAAAGAUAUGCUCACGUUUCUCCUCUCAUCUCUUUGCAUCCAUCUUCUCCUUACUUACAGUUAAAUACAACUAAAUAUCUUUUCUUUUAGGGCUUUUAUUUUUUUUUUUUUAGGGUUUUUAAUGCUUAGCGCUGAGAAAAUAUAAGCUGUGGCUAUUGCUCCUGCCUGCUAAAUGAACACAAAAUGAAGCCCAACAGUCCAUCAGUGGAACAGCCUGCAGUCAUGCACAAAACACUGCCAGCCUUGGUCUUAAGUCAUAGUUGCAGGUUUGAUCUUUAUUUUAAAAAGCUAUGACCUAGUUUAAGCGUAAGUUACAGUCUGUGAUCUGCAGAUGGUCCAAGUGAUCAAAAUGUCACCUUCUGGCUUCCUUCUGUGUGACCUCCAAGAAAUCAGGCCAGCCAAAAGAGCACACAAAAGUCUUACUGGGGAGACUGACAUCAACAUCUGCUCCUUGAAAUUGCCCAUGGAAGCAAGGAGGAGUUGCUCAUGAAACCUUACAGCUGUGCAGAAAAAUAAAAGCAACAAGGUGCAGCUGAAAACCAGAGCCUGUAUUAGCACCUGAUCAGGGACUGAGGAGCUGCGGGCCUGGUGCUGGUCUCAAGGCAUUAAAGCCCAUCCAUCUGUAGGCCUGUCCUUUUCUUCCUCUUUGUACAUUUUCUAGGGUGAUUUCACUGAUUCCCUUGGGAAUUGCUCUGGCUCUACAAUGUGGCCAACAUGGUCAACUUUGGACUUGACAUAUAUCUCGGUAAAUAGGAGGAAAUAGAAAGAACUUGUUAAAAGAUAUAUAUAUAUAUGUAUGUAUGUAUAUAUGUAUGUAUUAAAUACCUCCAUAGAAAAGAUGCUUAUAUGAGGAAGAGACUCCAGGUCUGCGGGUCUGAGAGAAGGCAGGUCAGAUGUUCCCUGGAUUUCAAUUGCAGCAGCGUUGACCUAGCAGAAAACCCAGAAGUGGAAACCAGUCCACAGAAACAGGACAAGAGAUAAUGGUUUUAAGUUGUGUCUGGGGAGAUUCGAUUUGGAUAGUAGAAAAAAAUUUAUUCUCUGAAAGAGUGGUGAGACAUUGGAACAGUCUGCCCAGGGAGGUGGUGGAGUCACUGUCCCUGGAGGUGUUCAAGAAACCUGGAGAUGUAGCAAUAACUGACAUGGUUAUUGGGCAUGGUGGUGAUGGGUUGAUGGUUGGAUUAGGUGAUCUUAGUGAUCUUUCCAGCCUUAAGGAUUAUGUGUAACCACCUGUGUCACCUCUCUUCUCUCAAAUCUCCACCACUCAAUUAUCAGUAAAGCACUGGAUGGCCUCCUGUGUUACCCAAAGCAAUGGGAGACCAACUGCCAGAUGCCAUUGGCUCCGCCACCUACUAGAUCCAUGGAAAAAAAAACCUGAGUAUUAAAAAGACAAUAAAUCUUUACCUAUAUAAAUUAUGGUGUGGACAAAAGAAAUUAAUAAAAUGUAUCUUCAGAGUGUCUCAAUGCCAUUAAAAGAGUAUCUCAAACCAAUUAAAAGAGCAUCCAUAAUUCACUCAUGCUCACUCCCAUGGAUCUGUGGCGUAGUACAGAAAGCACGUGUGCGUCCAUAAUCUUGUCCCAUCAUUUCAUAUAGUCCUUGUUUUUGAGACAGGAGGAAGGCUUUCAGUCAGCAAGGUUUAUGCAUUUAUCGGCCUUCUCUGUCAGUAGCUCCAAACCUUGGACUCUGGGUCCUUCUGAUCUCGGACUAUCUUAGUCUGUGACUUUCUUGAAAAAACACUUGUCUCAACCCACUGAGCAGAGCACACUUAACCUUUUCAGGCUAUUGGAUCUGCCUUAUCACAAUUUACUUUCAGGCCCAGGAGACAGGACAGCAUUGCAACACUGAAAGUCAAAGGGCCUGAAAAAAAAUAACGUGGUUAUUCAGGGAGGGAAAGCAAACAAAUAAAGAUGGGUCUCCAUGGGUCUUUCAUAUUCCCUCAUCCCAUCUCAUGUUUUGUGACUUUCCCUCAGCCGUGUGGAAUUUCUCACUUUCCCUCCUGACUGUCUUUGAAAGAAAGCAAGGCGAGAUCUCACCUCCAUGUGCUGGGACAUCACAGGGUCAACCUGAAAUCCCAAUGUUUGAACUCUCAUUGCUGCAAUUGACAACUCUGAGGAAUAUGUUGUGGAAUUGUUACUACUGAAAUUAUUUUUCUAUUUAUUUUCAGAUAGUUUUUAGGCUUGCAGAUUGUGCCUAAUAGGAUAUAGUGUCUAAGUGAAUCUAUCAAUCAGACACUUUCUCCUACCAUGGAAAUAAUGAAUUAAAAAGAAAGUACUGCAAGUCUGAUCAUGCUGUGGAUUCAACAACAAAUGGAGAUUUUCUAGAGUUACUAGGAGGUGCAGUUUGUGCCUGCUUUUGCAAGGACAUCACAUCAAGUUUCCUUUUUGUCUUUAGACCUGAAGAAAUCAUGUUUGCAGUUCUGGGCUCCCCAGUACAAAAAAAUAUUCUGUGAUUCUGUGAUUGGAAGAAUAAUACAAGGGAAAGGGGUUGCCACAUAUGAGAGAAACCUUUGAAUAUUCAUCUAUAUAUGACAUAAACUGACCUAUUGCAAUUCCUUCUAGUGGAGAUAGGUAAGAGAGGCCUUUGCUUUGGGUGUCUUGAAUGUCAGAAUCUUGUUUCUCCAUAGUAUUCCAUUAUUGUCAGUAAAAUAGGAAGAUGACUGAAUGCUGGAACAAAAUCAGAACCAGUUUUGAUCAGGACCAUAACAUAUGAAGUAUCACACAAAUGGACAUGGAGAUGUUGGUUUUCAGGCUAUCACUGUGCAUGGUCUGCUAAGGAGUAUGCAAUAGGCCUAUAUGGGCAGAGUCCUAUUAACUUCAGUGGGAGCUUCCUCUGAUAGAUAGGAAGCAGUCCUCAGGUAUUAUCUCAGUGCUGUGUCUGACUUCUAAACACCUAGCUGCACAGAGGAUCAACUGAAUUGUCUGACAUGUAUUUUAAUUUCAAGGAACUUAACCCAGAAAUGCACUCUGAUUCACAAAUAUCAGCUCUUCCCACAUGAAAGCCAACACCGAUUUGCAAAGUCAUCCCACCUCUGUUUUGUAUUCAGCCCUUCAUUGUUGAACAUCUUUUGAAAGAGGCUGUGAACUGACAAUGAUCCUGUUGGCAAAGUUUUUGCCCACAAUCUUUGGUAGACUCCAGUCCUCCAAAUAUGCCACUUACCACUUUCCCCAAGCACAGCAAGAAGUUGUGCUGUGUUAGGACAGCUUCUGGCUUCACAGAUGUAAAAGACAUAAUCUAUUUCCAACCUCUCUCUCCCUGCCCAGCUACCUCUAUCAUGACCCAACGAUGGCCAGUUUCCCCUCUCAUCAGAAGCCUUCUCUGACAAGCAGCUCCCUGGUGGCUUUCCAAAAACAGCAGGCCCAGCAAAAGCCUUCACUGUGCACACAUCGCAAUUCUCAGAUGGUAUCUCUGGGACAAGCACAACCUACAGGCUCUUCAUGUUGAAGACAACAGAAAUAUGCACAAUGCCAGGAACUCUCUUUUUUAAUAUUAUUUUCUACUUGGUUUGCAGCUGAACAAACCUCCCUGAGUACAGAUAUUCUCUCUGAACAAUGGUCUCAAAUGCAUGGUUUCUGUUAUUCUGAAAUGUUGCCUUUUCACUUGAUUAAUUUGCACCUUCUGAGUGCUUGUUUUCAGUAGGACAAACAGAUUGUCAUUAACUGUAGAAAACUGCAUUCUAUCACACAAUACUGUUUAUCAGCCUACACAGCACCAAAGUCAACUGCAGUCAAGAAACCACAGUGUGGAUACAGUCUCAGUGCAGCUCCAGCUACAUCACAGUGCUGCUUAUUCAGCUGGCAAGAGAUGCAAAGGGAUUCUGCUCACUGAAUGACUCUUCUGGAUUUCUGCAGAGGAAACGUCAACACCCUGAAUGUCACAAAUGUGGGUCUGGGUGAGUUCAGGGUACCCUUCCAGUGGCAAUGUGGACAUAUUCCUUUAAUCAUAUUACUGCUAUAUUUGAUUCCAGAAACUUUGAUCAGAUACAGUGUGUCUAAUAGACAGGUCAGGAAAGGGUAAGAUCUGCUCUCCUAAAUUCAGGAAGAGGGUUGUUUUGAUAAUUACUGUAUAGAUGUAGCACUUGAAAGAUCCUGGUUUCUCUUUCUUCUAUUAGUUUUCUUUCUUACAGAAUCAUAGAGUCAUUAGGAUGUAAAGACCACUAAGAUUGUCUAAUCCAACCAUCAACUCAUGCCUGUGACCACUUUAACCACGUCCCUCAGUGCCACAUUCACUUGAACACCUCCAGGGACGCUGACUCCACCACCUCCCUGAGCAGCCCAUUUCAGUGCCUCACCUCUAUUUCUGAGAAGAAAUUUUUCCUAAUAUUGAAAUUGAACGUCCCCUGGUGCAACUUAGCCAUUCCCUCUCAUUGUAUCACUAGUUACUUGUGAAAUGAGGCCAUCUCCCACCUUAUCACAACCUCCUUUUCAGGGAGUUGUAGACAGCAAUAAUGUCUCUCCUGAGCCUCCUCUUCUCCAGACUGAACAGUCCUAGCUCCCUCAGUCGCUCCCCAUAAGACUUGUGCUCCAGACCCCUCACAGCAUCAUUGCCCUUCUCUGGACAUUCAGUGGCUGUGGUCAGUACAACUCCAUGUCCCACAAGGGAGCCAUUGUUUGUCUCAGUUCCUUAGGUCUCUGUCUCAUGCUCCAUUUUCUUCCUGGGCUGAUGCACCAGGGCAUUAGUGCUUUGGGAUUACAAUGUUUGGCUCUACACAGGGUCUAGGUGAGGUGCUUCAGGAACAGAAAUGCCACUUAUUAAUAAGCAGGUGAACAAGGAGCUAUAUGGCAGUGAAGUUCUUAAGUAUGUGUCUGGAGGCAGUGGCAGUGAAAGCACAUCUGUUCAUCUCGUCUCCACCAGAUGGUUAGUUUCAGUGCCUGAAGUUACUGUCAUUUAUUUCAUCAGUAAUUUUGUUCAGAGGAUGCUGAGGAAUGGACAAAUCCUGGAUACCAGAACAUGGUCUGACAUCUGAAAACUUUGCCAGGGACAUAAAUCUGUGGAAAUUGUUCCAACAGAAAGUUAAAGACACUGUCAGAGUUUUCUUCCUUUUGAUUGGUAGGAACAAAUUAAAUAUGAGAGAUACGUCUUUUUGAUCAAUAUGUAAUUUUUAAUUACUCUUUAUUGUGUUGUUUUUUUUUUUUUAAUUAUUAUUACUCUAUCUUGGAAAUAAGUUCUGGGAGAAGAAAGCAAAUCCCUUCUUUUCACUAAAUAGUUUGAAAGCUGAUUGUUCUUCGAUUCAAAAAUAAACAAGUGAACAAAAAAAAAGAUAAACUUGGUAGGAGUUUGUUAAGUCUGAGCAAAGAGUAACUCAAAGUUUAAUUGUCUGAGCAGCUCCUGAAGCUCUGAGUUUCCGGGAGGCUUAUAACAGAGCAUGGCUUUUUCCCUGGGGCCUUGGCCAGCCAUGACAGUAUCACUGAGUGGCAGAGAACAGGUAGCAUGGUCCCAGUCACUCAAAUGUCUGCUUGCUGAACUGUGGACACAGUGAACUGGGAAGAUUUGAUGCAUUUUUAGCUGGGACUCAGUAUUGCAAUGCCACAUAUCUGCAUGCAUCCUUGAAUCUUUAGACAGCCUGAAAUCGCACUCGGUCUUACAAAGUUGCACCCUUUAAGGAGGAUGUCAUAAAAUCCCAGACUUCUAAGUUGAACAUCAGUUUUAUUCUCUGGCUUUCAGUUCAAAAUAUUUAAAUAAAAUCUUCCUUUCUCACAAGUUCAUCUAUCUGUCCCACUUCAUUUUCACUGCAGCAUACCUGGGUUUUGAAUGUGUCUGGAGAUUAGCCUGUAAGAAGGAGGCUGAAGUCAAACUGAGGAGCACUUGGGUGUAAUUCCGACUAAUUCUCUGUGAUAUGGAGAACAUCAUUUGUGACAGCCAGGUUCAUUACAAACUCUCAGCCUGAAGCCUUUGAUAGAUGUUUUGAGAAAGUUAUAGGAACAAAAGCAUCAUCAGGUGAAUAGAUUGAGUCCCUCGAGUUCAUGAUUGGGCUUCAAGCUAAGCUAAAAGUAUAUUUUUUCUUUUGGUCAAGCUCAAAACAUUAACAAGAAUACAAUGGUAUCAAAAAAAUUGUGUGGAAUUUUUGUUUUACUUAUUCACAAGAAGUUUAGAGAGAGUCAGAUGUUCUCAUUUUAAUGUUUGUUUGUUUGAUGAGUACGAACCCUGGACAGUGUGAGGGCCAAAGCAUCUCCCAAGUCUUUGGGGUUGCUUGCAGAGGCGCACUCUGCACGCUCCAGUUCAGCAGACUUUUAUAGCCAUUUAAUGAGAUUUAAAGCUGUUAAAAUGUCUUCUUGGGCAUUCUCUUGUUCCUUUGAGUCCUGCUGACACUUCUAAAAAUAGCAAAGCUGGCAUAGAUGCCAGUUAGUGAAUGGAAGCAGAUUUACUACACAAAAAAGAGAUAAGGGAAGAGUUGCAGGUGAGGAGCUGUUUUAUCAGUUCACUACCUACUAUUAGGCUGUAUUAGAGCUGUUCUGCUUAUACCUUGGCCCUAUCAUUCUGCCUUUAAAGAAUUAUCUAUCAAAGUCUAAAUUUAUCAAUCCUGGAUAAAGAGCUCCCAGCAAUCUGUCAUGGAGGAAAGUGACAGAGUAGUUUAAAGGUAUUCUCAGUGCAGAUCAUUCGCCUGCAGCUGACUUUUCUGCUUGAAAAGAGACUUAACUCUUUUAGACUAUCAGAACUUUGCUCCUUAGAAGCAUCACUCUUCACUAAAAGGGAAAGUGCCCACACCACGAGAUAUUUUUGUUCUUAGCAGGAAACUGCAAGAGUAUUAAUUUAAAUGCAUUAGUGAGAUGUUACAUAUUUGUGUGCAUCAAAGAGAAGCCUGCAUUCCUCCUCACUGCCUUAGCCAUAUUUUGGUGGUUCCAUCUGCAGCUCUGCUGGAGCAGCAGUGUGACAUGUUCCUGCUGAAGGCUGAAAGUUGGAAAGGAAGGAGAAUUGGGAAGCCAGAUCUGGAAUUCCCAGGUCUCGUCCCACCAGCUCAGAGCACAGAAAGGAGAAAUCCACUGGGUUCAUGGUUUCCAGCAUUUGCCCAUAAAUCACCUAGGUAUAAGGUGUAUUAACCACCAGAAGACAGACAGUCCUUUCUAAGUGCAAGAAUGACUUAGCCAAACCAAAAGGACUCAGUAUGGUGUUUUGAAGACCUCUGUAAUUCCCUGACAUAUUUCCAGCAAGAUGGGAAAGAGCAGAGCACUGCAAUUAGUUGGACAUUUUCAGUAUGGAUCUCAGAGUCUAGACUGGGAGUUAUUGUAUUUGAAAGCCCCUAGCUUGCUGAUCCAUGCCUUAAUUUCCCUACCUUCUAAUGGGAAAGAUAGACUUGUGGCAAUAAUUAGUGUCUGUAAAGCACUUCAGAAGCUUGUACAGUGUAUUCCCUAGAGUGACCUACCUACAAUCAAUGGGAUAUAAUGGCAUCAUACUAUCACAAUAAUUAAAUACUUCCAACUCUUCAGUUAACCAGUGUUUACAGUGCAACAAUGAGAUACAAGAAAUCUUAAUCUGGUUGACAGAGAACAAAUGUAAAGGAAAAAUAAGUAAAAUAUGCAGAACAUUUCUGUGAUGUACAAAAGUAAUCUCAUGUUCUUCUGUGCAAUUACAUUCAAAAGAGCUGUUAGGCAGUUCAGGAUGGUUCCCACAGCAUUCCAACUAGAAGCUCAGAGAAACACAUUCAUGCAAUGCAGGUCCAGUGCUUGGAUCCUGGUAAUCAAAAUUGUCCAGAAUAUAACUAGAGAAGCUGUCCUUCUGUGGACUGCUUCAAGAGAUGGGGUGAGGUAUUGGAACAGGCUGCCCAGGGAGGCGGUAGAGUCAAUGUCCCUGGAGGUGCUCAAGAAAAGUGUAGAUGCGGCACUGAGGGACAUAGUUUAUUGAUAUGGUGGUGACGAGUUGAUUGUUGGACUUGGUCAUCUUAGUGGUCUUUUCAGCCUUAAUGAUUCUAUGAUUCUAAGACAUUUGCGAUCUGUUUCUAAAUAGAGACCUUCAGUAAUAUUUCUGGGAGAGAAGAAGAAAUGUUCUCUGAAGUACGUGUCUUAAUAGACAAAGCCUUUGGCAAGGUGGAGCACCGUACAUCUCUUCACAAAUGAUUUUUAAUCUACACAACAGUUUUGAGAUUAUUUUUGCCUUUAUCACAUUUACAUUGUAUCAAAUACAGAAGUCUAUAGUUGUGAGAUUAAGGAUAGAAAAUACAGGAAUUUUGUAAGCAAACUACCUCGGAAUACAUUAAAAAAAAAAAAAUCCCACAAGUUCUAGCAUUCUAUAUCUGGAUAUCUGCAUUAACUUCUGCCUCCCCUUUUCUUCCUCCUUCAACCUGGAAGAGAAAAGAUAAGUCUGGAGAUGCUGACCUUGUAGUGUAGCUAUAUAUACUUACAUUUCUUUUACUGUAAAUAAAUACACACACAAGAUAGAACCAUAACCACAAAGGCUGUCUCACCAAAACCUGAACUUCUGUUGACCUACCACUGUAUUUUGUGUACUUGAAAGAAAACAGAGGCUAAAAAGAUGGAUUUGAACAAGACAACGUGUUCUGUGCAUAGCAUGGCGCAAAGUGCAUCCACAAUGUGAUUACCAGGAACCAAAUGGGACUGUGCUAUUUCAAAGGGAUUCUGAGUCAUAUAAUGUAUCCUCUAGGGAAUUUACUGCAACACAACAACAGACAGGCCAUCUUGUGUUUGGAAAACAUACCCCAUUUGAUGCUUCUUCAGAGUAAUGCUGAAUAAUAGAAGAUAUUUUGUAUCAUCUUAAUUUUUUAUGAUGCAUACAGCACCACAGCACAGGUCAAAUAGAAACAUUCAGUCUUAAAACACCAUGGACAACUUCAGGAAGUCAGUGGGGAACUACUUUGCUUUGAGUUCUGAGCACAUUGCCAGAUCACGCUGCUUACAUCCUCAGUAUUUGCUCAGAAUCUUUCAAACGUGGCACUGGUACAGUUCUUAACCUUCAGAUGAAGAAAGCGGACUUUUCUGGCAGUUUGUGAAUGAAAAAUGCAAGGAACUUCUGCUGUCCAUUUGUCUUACUUUCUCUUAUUGCACCCAUAUAUUACUCUGCUCAUAAGUAGUCAGAGAAAUUGCAAUUCAAUUUCAAGUAACUAGAUAGAUCUUUACACUAGGCUUGAUCCAAAGUCCACCUAAUAUUUCCACUGUUCCUAGUGGACUUUUCUAUCAGAUGCCUGACAUGAGUUUCACUGAAACCCCCAGUAAGCUCCAUGCUGUGGCAGUAGGAUCAAAGUUUAGAAGUGGCAAGGACUCCUGCACUUCUGACAGAUGCCCUUUUCCCAACGUUAUGCCCCUCAUGUCUGCAAAUCCAGUACUCCCACUGCUCAUCAAAUCUCUACUUUUGGUUCAGGUGGUUAGGCAAUUUUAUGUCAGUACCAUUACACAUUAGAAUGAUAGAAUCAUCGGAUAUCCUGAGUUCCCAGGGACCUAUAAGGAUCACUGGGUCCUCUCCUAGCCAAAAUCUGCUUUACAUGAAUGAACAAUAGCAGAGGAAUUCUUACUGGUGUGAGAGGAUACUAAGAGCAAAGGGAAAUAUGCAAAGAACUCCACUUUAACAACAUCUAUGUCUGUGCAAUACAUGUGAUUUGAGAAGCAUUAGCAUUUUGUUUUGUUUCAGUCUCAUAAUUAGAAGGAUUGUGCUUCAUUAUCCUACUGUAGCUCCUGCUGUGACAUGGUCCUGGUUAUCUUUCUGAAAGAAAUAUUUCAUAAACAGUAUCCAGUUAUGUUGGUUGAAUACAAAAGCUUUGGAAUUUUCAUUUCAAGUCAGAAAGGAAAAGAAAAAAAAAACAUUUAUUCUUAUGGAAUUAUUAUAUUCUUGUUUUAAUAAUAGGGAAGCAUUUCAGACAAGACAGUUCUUAUUCACAGAACUGAAUACUUGGAAUACUCAGGGAAAAUACGUCCUUAGUUGGCUUGGUUUUAGCAUUUCUUCUUGCAAGGUUGCUCUUAUUAGAACGGGGAAAAGAAAGAAAAAGAAAGUCCAUGUUAAUCAUCUGACGUAAAUGUGAUAGGAGAAGGGUCAUAGUCUUUUUUUUCCCUACAAAGACUUGAUUAUAUUGUUCUGCAUAGAAGGGCUAUUCUGAAAGCAGUAUCUCCUACUUCAUUAUGCUGGCCCGCAACAUCACAGGUGGAUGUUAGUGACAUGAAAGUAGAGGCUGAAUCUUCCCACCAAUAUUUCAUUAUGAAAUUGCUGUGUGGCAGCAGAGGAGCAGUCUGACAGAAUGGCAUCUGUCAUGGAAGUGCUUAUGAAGCAAAGAUAUAGCACUGAAUUCCUUCAUGAAGAAAAAAUGGCAUCUACUGACAUUCAUCGAUGCUUGCUGAAUGUUUAUGGAGUCCAAACAGUGGAAUUGAGCACAGUGAGGCAGUUUGUGGUCAAUUUCAGCAGCAGCAACAACGACAUAAAGACAAACCAUGUUCUGGAUGGCCAUGAAGAUAUUGACAAAUGUAGCAUGCAGGCUCUUGUUAAUAGCUGAUGAAAAUGCACAGCCAGUGGUGGUGACUGUUGAUAGAGCAAAUUCUCAACUACAAAACAAUAUCUUUCAAACAGUGUUAUUGUGCUCUUAUUAUCUCUUGUAGUUCCAUGGAAAUAAAUAGGAGGCAUUACUUUCAGGGAGACCUACCUUCUGCGUAAAAAAAGGUAGUUCUCAAUCUCAGAAGCCUCCCUGAUUGCCUAUAUGAGCUAUACCCAAAUAUUUCUGUCUUCUGGUUCUUUCUCCUCACCUUUCUCCUCACAUGGCAGUAUUCUGUCCUUCCUUUAAGGGAAGUUACAAAGUUGUGCCUCACAUAAACCACAUGUUAAUAGCUAAUCCGAUGAUGUUGCCAGUGAUACACAUAAUCUUAUGUUCCUGUGUGCAUAUGGCAACUACAGUAUUCAUUUUGAAUAUUCUUAUAUUCAGAAGGGAAAAGGUCUUUCCUAUAUUUAUGCUAAUUUGCAUAACAUACUCUACCCAGCAUUCAUCAUAUUCUGCUAAGCUCUGCCAAGGAAAAUGUAUUAAUAGCUGAACUGUUGUGACCCUUUAUUAAUAUCGACAUUGCAAGCUCUGUACCAGUUUUAAGACACACCGAGAAGACAGUAUUUUUGUUCUUAUUCCUUAAAUCUUUAUGAGUAAGUAAUCAGAGACAAUGAAAAAAUGCUCCAGGAGAAACAGCUUAGGCGUAAAGGCAAGCAAGGCAAGCAAUUGGAUCGUUCUGUCUUGCAGCUGUUGGAUCUAUGACUCUAUGCACCCUUUAUUUAUUUAGUUAGUUAGUUAGUUUCUGGGGAUAAACUGAUACAUCCAUAGUUAGCACAUACCUCUACUCAUUGUUUAAAAAAAGAACACAAGAAAUUACACAGGGAAAAUGUGAAAAUAUAUGAAUAACGAUCAUAGCAUAAUAGAAUAGUUUUCACUGGAAGGAACCUUCAAGACCAUGGAGUGGACAGAAGGAAGUUUUCCUGUUUGUGGGAACAGCAGAAAGUUGUGGAGCUCUGCCUGGGGGUUGGGGGUGGGUGAUUAGCUUACAGAUCAGGAUCAGUGGCUGAGUUCACUGCCUCUAGUCCUUAUAAGAGACUUCAGUCACCCUGGUAUCAUCUGGAGGAGAAACACAGCAGGUCAUAAACAAUUCAUUGCUAGACUCAAAGAUUUGCUAUAGGUGGCACAAAGUCUGGCCAGAGACCAGUCACCUCUGGUGUACCUCUGGGACUGAUACUGGGGCAAAUAUUCUUUAGUAUUAGCUUUACUGACCUAGGUGGUAGGAGAGCACAGACUCAGAAGGUUCUCAAGUAAUAUUAAACUGAGAGAAGUGGUGGGUUGUAAUGCUGUAAUGUCAUGGAAAGUAUAGCAGUAAUAGCAGGGUAGCAAAGUCUUUGGUUACAGCAAAUGAGAACAAGCCCAAAUGCAGCAGCCAUGGAUACAGAAAUGAAGGAAAUAAAGCUGCUUGCCUUUAGAAGGCCCCAGGAAGGCCAGGAUCUCCAGCAGUAUACCCUUGCCUCCACUGCCAGCUCUUAAAUGAGGUCUGGGAAGGGGUGUAUCCUGGUUUCAGCCCCUCUGGUCACUCAGGUACAUUGCAUGCACCUGAGCUCCCCCAGGUCAGCCCUGCCUUCCCAGGCGGUGCUCAAUCACUGUUUCAAGCCAUGACUUAGCAUUUUCACUACUUGGGUACACCAUACAAUUGUGCUGCCAUUCAAAAUGACAUCAACCCUAUGAAACAGAACAAACGGAAAUGGAAAGUCUUUCAUCUAGGAAGGGAAAAACACCAAGCACCAGCAUAUGCUAGAUGCCAACCAACUGGAAAACAGCUUUGUAGAGAAGGACUCGGUAGAUACCAAGGUAACCAUGUGUUUCAUGGUUUAUCACCAGUAUUCCACAUCAUAACACCAUGCAGUGCAGUGGGAGUCAACGAGUUAAUGCUGCAGUUCCAUACAUUGUCGAUAUUUCCGGACUCUUGGUCUCAGAAGAGAAUGAACUACAGCUCCCAGAAGACUUCAUUUUUCUGUUUUCAUUUUCCAUCCAGUGGAAAAGAUAAAACUGGCUGGGAGGCGUGUGACUUCCCUCUUUGUUCCCUGGCCACUUCCUACAGCAUUAGACUAAGGACUUCAGUUUGGAAUCUCUCUUUCUCAUUUGAUACAUUAGCUUCGAUUUCAAUCAUAUUGUAUUAUAUUGUAUUAUCUCACAUUCCGCUACUGUAUUUAGUAAAGUAAGUUUUUUUUCCCUUUAGCCUGUUGUCGCUGUUCUUUCUCAUCCAGGCCCAUCUCCCCACCUUUUCCCUUCCCCUCUCCAGUGCAUGGAUCCAUGGGGUCCCUUCACCCUCUUGUCACAGGAACCAGGCUGAACCAGGCCAAAUCUUGACACUGUGAUGCAGAAAUGGCAAAGAAGAUUAAAGAUCCAGGUUAAAGGAGGUGAUUCUUUCACUGACGCUGAAUCACAUUCUCUUGCUGUGUGCAGUGCUGGGCUUCCUGGCACGAGAGAUAUGGUCAUGCUGGAGCAAGUCCAACGAAGGGCUACCAAGAUAACGAAGGAACUGGAGCAUUAGCCUUAUAAAGAGACACAGAGAGUUGGCAAUAUUCAGCCUGGAGCAGAAAAGGCUCAGAGGAAACUUCCAUUUGUGUAAAUAUCUCACGGAGGUGGGAAAGACUCAGAUUCUUCUCAGUGGCGCGCAGUGAAGGGACAAGAGGAAAUAGGCGCAGAUUGAAAUACUGAAAAUUUCACUUAAAUUUAAAAUUAAUAAAUAGAUAGAUAAAUAAACUUUUGUACUGUGAACUUGAUAUGAAAUAUCAA
This 13342-nucleotide long non-coding RNA is filed under the name Gallus gallus (chicken). RNAcentral's name for it is "lncRNA (ENSGALG00010010149.1)". The record is from RNAcentral. Lineage: Eukaryota; Metazoa; Chordata; Aves; Galliformes; Phasianidae.